UACGAAGGGUGCAAGCGUUAAUCGGAAUUACUGGGCGUAAAGCGCGCGUAGGUGGUUCAGCAAGUUGGAUGUGAAAUCCCCGGGCUCAACCUGGGAACUGCAUCCAAAACUACUGAGCUAGGGUACGGUAGAGGGUGGUGGAAUUUCCUGUGUAGCGGUGAAAUGCGUAGAUAUAGGAAGGAACACCAGUGGCGAAGGCGACCACCUGGACUGAUACUGACACUGAGGUGCGAAAGCGUGGGGAGCAAACAGG
Molecule: ribosomal RNA, 253 nt
Filed under: uncultured bacterium
Lineage: Bacteria
Description: partial 16S ribosomal RNA
Rfam family: Bacterial small subunit ribosomal RNA
Source: RNAcentral